UGACUUGCAAGUGACAUUCUGACUCCAGAGUGCACAUAUUUUCUGUAUAUUGUUUCUUACCAAUGUAGCUACAUUUUACUGCUGCCACUUUUUCUGGGACAGGUCUAGAUUUGGGGGUGCAUGUCUUCUACUUCUCAAAAUGUAUUGCUGAGCUUCUCUAGUGUGUCAAUCAUUGUAUUAAUUUUCAGCAUUGACAAUUGUAAACCUAAAUCAUACCCUCCUGCUUCAUGAGGAGCCGAAGGAAAGCUUUACCUUCAACUUCUGAAGAUGUGUUAAAAGUCACUGACAAGAGUCAAAUUAAUAACAGAAAAGGCAUACAAAUUUAAUUGAUCAUAGUUUUACAUAACACAGGAGCCUUCAGAAUGAAGAUCCAAAGAUACAGAGGAAUUGUACAUUUUAAUGCUUAGGGUCGACAAAAUAUGGACAGCCAUGUACAAAUACGAUUGGGCAAAAAGAGAAUGAUCUACUGCCAAUAGAGUUGGGAAACCCAGCAAGGCCUGUCUGUCUAGACUCCUCUUGGCCUCACUGCGCAGCAUUCGUUCCUCCUUGGUGUGUGGCAGGACCCUCUAUGGAAAGAGGGUGUUAUGACCUACAAUUAAAAAAGACUUGGAGCUAAAGCAGCUGUCAACCUGGAAGUACCAAUGGACACUGACAAAACAAUAAACAAAUCUCCAACAAAAGCCUGUUCUCUCUAGCCAAAAAUCCAAGACAGUCUUGAGAAGACUAGUAAGACAGAAAACUUUUAGACAAUAACAGCUCUACUCCAGCCAGCCACAACAACAAUAACAAAAAAACUGUGGCUCUACCCCACCCAUGGCAAAAGCCAAGUGGGGAAGCCAAGCUUUCCACUCAUGCCUGACUGUGACAAGGCACUCACCCUUCCUUCCAGGGUAACGUCUGGGAAAGCUGAGUAAGGAAUUGGUAGUUUCAUUCUCACUGGGUGGUAAGGAGUCCACCUUACUGUUAGCAGAGUCCACAUGACUUUAGUAGUGUUGGUAGUUGUGGUGGUAUUAUUAGUAGAGGCCAUUUAGGGAGCCAUGACAAGGCACUCAUAUCCAUCGCAGUCAGUGAGUUACCAGCAGACACCUCGUGUGGAGUUGGAAGUCCCAACCCUAGCAGUUGGAGACAGACUCCCUGCUACAACUUGAGAGUCAACAGAGGCCAAAUAAGGAACCUGGAGACCUGGGCAUUUAUCCCACAGAAACGGAACUUAUACCCACCCAAAAGGUUACCCAAAAAUAUGUGUAGUAGUUUUAAUUAUAGUAGUCAGUAACUGGAAACAAUCCAGAUGUCCUUCAAAAAGUGAAUGGUUAAGCAAACUGUGGUACUUCCAUUUCUUGGGAAAUUACUCAGUAAUUUAAAAAAAAUUGUUAAUGCAACAACCUAGAUGACUAUUCAGAGAUUUGUGCUGAGUGAAAAAAGCAAUCCCAAAAGGUUGUAUCUUGUAAUUCCAUUUAUGUAUUUUUCCUGAAAUGACAAAACUGCAGAAAUGUAGAACAAAUUAGUGGCUGCCAGGUGUUAAGGAGAAGGUGAAGAUAAGAGAAAAAUGUGUGCAGCUAUAAAAGUGCAACAUGAGGGAUCCUUGUGGUAGUGAAACUAUUCGGUAUCUUGCUUAUAUCAAUGUCAGCAUGUUACUUGUGAUUUUGUGGUGUUUGAUUUUUUUGGCGUUGUUAUAGUUUUUCCAUUGGUGGAUAUUGGGUGAAUAGCCCAUGAGAUAUAUCUGUAUUAUUUCUUCCAACUGCAUGUGAAUCUACAAUUAUCUAAAAAUUAAAAUUUUAAUUAAAAAUGGAGCUAAUUGGGUGUUUUUUCUAUUUUUCAAAAAGUAUCAUUAUAGGUAUUGAUUAGAAGUUAGAACCUGGAGGAGGACCAAAUAGGAGACCAAAAUUAAAUUAUCA
RNAcentral lists this long non-coding RNA (1895 nucleotides) under Homo sapiens (human). RNAcentral describes it as "HSALNT0079741". The record is from RNAcentral. Lineage: Eukaryota; Metazoa; Chordata; Mammalia; Primates; Hominidae.